Molecule: ribosomal RNA, 324 nt
Filed under: uncultured eukaryote
Lineage: Eukaryota
Description: partial 18S ribosomal RNA
Rfam family: Eukaryotic small subunit ribosomal RNA
Source: RNAcentral
CCCUUAGACGUUCUGGGCCGCACGCGCGCUACACUGAUGCAUUCAACGAGUUUCUUCCUGGUCCGAGAGGAAUGGGUAACCUUUUGAAAGUGCAUCGUGAUAGGGAUAGACUAUUGCAAUUAUUGGUCUUCAACGAGGAAUUCCUAGUAGACGUAGUUCAUCAGACUGCAUCGAUUACGUCCCUGCCCUUUGUACACACCGCCCGUCGCUCCUACCGAUUGAAUGCUCAGGUGAGCCAUUCGGACUUUCAUCAUGCUGGUUUCCAGUUUUGAUGAAGGAAAGUCUUGCGAACCUUAUCAUUUAGAGGAAGGAAAAGUCGUAACA